GUCCCGUUCGUCUAGAGGUUUAGGACACCGCCCUUUCACGGCGGUAACAGGGUUCGAAUCCCUACGGGAUGCCA
RNAcentral lists this transfer RNA (74 nucleotides) under Thalassotalea euphylliae. RNAcentral's name for it is "tRNA-Glu". It matches the Rfam family "tRNA". From Rfam's summary of the family: Transfer RNA (tRNA) molecules are approximately 80 nucleotides in length. Their secondary structure includes four short double-helical elements and three loops (D, anti-codon, and T loops). Lineage: Bacteria; Pseudomonadati; Pseudomonadota; Gammaproteobacteria; Alteromonadales; Colwelliaceae. The record is from RNAcentral.